AAUGCACACACACAUGCGGCCGUACACAAUGCACAUGUGCACACACAACACAUGCACAGUCACAUACAUGCACAUAGUCACACACCAUGCACAGUCACACAAAUGCACAUGCACACACAUGCGGUCACACACAUGUGCAAUGUGCUCAACACACAUGCAGUCACAAUGCACACACACAUGCGGCCAUACACAAUGCACAUGUGCACACACAACACAUGCACAGUCACAUACAUGCACAUAGUCACACACAUGCACAGUCACACAAUGCACAUGCACACACAUGCGGUCACACACAUGUGCAAUGUGCUCAACACACAUGCAGUCACAAUGCACACACACAUGCGGCCGUACACAAUGCACAUGUGCACACACAUCACACAUGCACACAUGUGCACACACAACACAUGCACAGUCACAUACAUGCACAUAGUCACACACAUGCACAGUCACACACGCACAUACACACGUCAACACAUGCACAGUCACACAAUGCACAUGCACACACAUGCGGUCACACACAUGUGCAAUGUGCUCAACACACAUGCAGUCACAAUGCACACACACAUGCAGCCAUACACAAUGCACAUGUGCACACACAACACAUGCAGUCACAUACAUGCACAGUCACACACAUGCACAGUCACACAAUGCACAUGCACACACAUGCGGUCACACACAUGUGCAAUGUGCUCAACACACAUGCAGUCACAAUGCACACACACAUGCGGCCGUACACAAUGCACAUGUGCACACACAACACAUGCAUACUCACAGUUACAUACAUGCACAGUCACACACAUGCAGUCACACAUGCACGUGCACACAUGUGGUUAACACAUGCAGUCACACAAUGCAUAUGCAUACACACGCACACACAUGCAGUUACACGUGCACACACACGUGGCCACACACAUGCAGUCACACACAUGCAGUCACACGUGCACACACACGUGGCCACACACACGCUUAUAGUCGCACAGUCGCAUAUUCACAUGCACAUGCAUGCACACACACCUCACCUAGCCGAUUCCUCACAAGAGCCGAGGGGAGAGCAGGUGCCGCUGGGGAGUGCCAGUGCCCAGCCGGCCGAGCUGCUCCCCAUCUCCGUGUUGCAGUGCGAGGCCCUCGGGCCUCUGCUCUCUUGCUCUGCCUGGCAGGAGCCCCCAGCCCCAGCCCCCAGAACACACAGGGCCACACGGAACACGCCCCCACCCCGCCCCCUACCCCACGGACCACAGAGCUGCUGACGGAUGUAUUUGAUGGCUACUAUUUUGUAAUUCUUGUCCACUUGUAAUUGUUUUUACUCUUUCUAUAUACUUUUCAGACUGCCUUUCUUUGUAAUUUCUGGAGGUUUAUAAAUCGAUGACAAAGCUUUCCCCAUUGUGUCUUCGAGAACUCUCCUGUAAACUGUAAUGUUGUGCUAGGCUGAUUAAAAGGGCCCCCGUGUGGCUCGGUACUGUGUGGGUGUGUGCAUGUGUACAGUCAGUGUAAAGUAUUUUCUAUAAAUAAACUUGUUAUUUUA
Molecule: long non-coding RNA, 1522 nt
Organism: Cavia porcellus (domestic guinea pig)
Lineage: Eukaryota; Metazoa; Chordata; Mammalia; Rodentia; Caviidae
Source: Ensembl